UUGCAGUUAAAAAGCUCGUAGUUGGAUUUCGGAGUGGGCCAGUUGGUCCGCCGCAAGGUGUGUUACUGACUGGUUUGCUCUUCUUCGCAAAGACUGCGUGUGCUCUUCAGUGAGUGUGCGUAGGAUUUACGACGUUUACUUUGAAAAAAUUAGAGUGUUCAAAGCAGGCUAUUGCUUGAAUACAUGAGCAUGGAAUAAUGGAAUAGGACUUUGGUCCCAUUUUGUUGGUUUCUAGGGCCGAAGUAAUGAUUAAGAGGGACAAUUGGGGGCAUCCGUAUUUCGUUGUCAGAGGUGAAAUUCUUGGAUUUACGAAAGACGAACAACUGCGAAAGCACUUGCCAAGAGUGUUUUCAUUAAUCAAGAACGAAAGUUAGAGGAUCGAAGACGAUCAGAUACCGUCCUAGUUCUAACCAUAAACGAUGCCAGCUAGCGAUCUGCCGGCGCUUAAUUUUCUGGCCUGGCAGGGAGCUUCCGGGAAACCAAAGCUUGUGGGUUCCAGGGGAAGUAUGGUUGCAAAGCUGAAACUUAAAGUAAUUUGACGGAAAGGGCACCACCAGG
RNAcentral lists this ribosomal RNA (558 nucleotides) under uncultured eukaryote. Its description in RNAcentral is "SSU rRNA". It matches the Rfam family "Eukaryotic small subunit ribosomal RNA", at positions 613 to 1174 of the family's 1831-position model. The record is from RNAcentral.